Molecule: long non-coding RNA, 665 nt
Organism: Zonotrichia leucophrys gambelii
Lineage: Eukaryota; Metazoa; Chordata; Aves; Passeriformes; Passerellidae
Exons: 4
Source: RefSeq, a predicted model, not a curated record
GCCCCUUCAGAAGGGAACUGGAGUCCCUUGGCUGCUUUGUGAAGAAAAAAAGAGUUAGUGCUCUGAGGAGGUGCCCAUGAGAAAUACCAAGAAGAUAUGAAACUUUUGUGAUAAGAAGACAGCAGUAUGGAACCCCUGCAAUAAGAUGACAACAUACAUUUGUGAGCAGUUAAUGCCUUUUAUGUACACAUGAAAGCUACAAUAUUCAGCAUGAAAACAAAUGGCCGAAGAGGCGAGACUGCUAAGAGUGGGAGAACUGAGAUGAUCUGCCAUAAUCAAACAGAGCCUCCUCUUCAACCUUUGGAUCACCAGUGACACCUAGCAACUAUUCAACGUGGUUCCAGACCACCUGUAGAAAGCCUCAGCACUCCAAAACUUACACACCACCAGAGGAGGAUCAGAUAUGAUACAGAGGGUCUGCAUUUCAGAGUUAGGCUCCAAGAUAAAUAGCUGGUGCCAGGAUAGCUUCUGUUCAUCUCACAAGAACGUCAACUCCAUGUGGCUUACAGAGCACAUGAAUAUUUACAUCAUACAGCCAUUACCUUCUGAAACAGAGAGCUCGGCCAGUUUGUGUGGCAGGUCCGAAGUCCCAGCACCAGCAGGAGAGCCCAGGAUAUCUGGUAAGGCGUUUCGGCGGCCUGACCGUCCUGAUGAGGCAAAAUCUG